GUGACCAUUCUUGAAUAGGAUUAGUUCAAUCGUAUAACUCUGUAUUCUUGAGUUCUAACGAGACAAGAAUCUAUUUUGGUGGAUGAACCAUGGCUUCCACAGCAUCGACCAAUAUCGAUUGAUGGUGGUUGGUGUUGUGGAUGAUCGUUCUUAGUUGGCUAUGCUAGACCACCUGACAGACU
This 182-nucleotide small RNA is filed under the name Olea europaea subsp. europaea. The record is from RNAcentral. Lineage: Eukaryota; Viridiplantae; Streptophyta; Magnoliopsida; Lamiales; Oleaceae.